ACGACAGUGCGAUAGGGGGACUCCGAGUGCGAGGGCAUAUAGCCCUCGCUUUUCUGCACCGUAAGGUGGUGCAGGAACAAGUGCUGGGCAAGACCGGUGCCAGCCGCCGCGGUAAUACCGGCAGCACGAGUGAUGGCCGAUAUUAUUGGGCCUSCGCAAAGCGUCCGUAGCUUGCUGUGUAAGUCCAUUGGGSCGCAAAUCGACGCGCUCAACGCGUCGGUGUCCGGUGGSCGCAAACUACACGGCUUGGGGCCGAGAGACUCGACGGGUACGUCCGGGGUAGGAGUGSCGCAAAUCCUGUAAUCCUGGACGGACCACCAAUGGGGSCGCAAACCACGUCGAGAGACCGGACCCGACAGUGAGGGACGSCGCAAAGCCAGGGUCUCGAACCGGAUUAGAUACCCGGGUAGUCCUGGCUGUSCGCAAACAAUGCUCGCUAGGUAUGUCACGCGCCAUGAGCACGUGAUGUGCCGCAGUGAAGACGCUAAGCGAGCCGCCUGGGAAGUACGUCCGCAA
This 516-nucleotide ribosomal RNA is filed under the name uncultured Haloarcula sp. Its description in RNAcentral is "bacterial SSU rRNA". It matches the Rfam family "Archaeal small subunit ribosomal RNA", at positions 359 to 846 of the family's 1478-position model. Lineage: Archaea; Methanobacteriati; Methanobacteriota; Halobacteria; Halobacteriales; Haloarculaceae. The record is from RNAcentral.